This 329-nucleotide unclassified non-coding RNA is filed under the name soil metagenome. Its description in RNAcentral is "partial contains 5.8S ribosomal RNA, internal transcribed spacer 2, and large subunit ribosomal RNA". The stretch from base 1 to 120 matches the Rfam family "5.8S ribosomal RNA", at positions 35 to 154 of the family's 154-position model. The record is from RNAcentral.
GAUGAAGAACGUAGCGAAAUGCGAUAAGUAAUGUGAAUUGCAGAAUUCAGUGAAUCAUCGAAUCUUUGAACGCACAUUGCGCCCCCUGGUAUUCCGGGGGGCAUGCCUGUCCGAGCGUCAUUACAACCCUCAAGCUCAGCUUGGUGUUGGGCCCCGCCGCCCCGGCGGGCCCUAAAGUCAGUGGCGGUGCCGUCCGGCUCCGAGCGUAGUAAUUCUUCUCGCUCUGGAGGUCCGGUCGUGUGCUCGCCAGCAACCCCCAAUUUUUUUCAGGUUGACCUCGGAUCAGGUAUGGAUACCCGCUGAACUUAAGCAUAUCAAUAAGCGGAGGA